This 477-nucleotide ribosomal RNA is filed under the name Pseudomonadales bacterium HD-C-03-7. Its description in RNAcentral is "bacterial SSU rRNA". It matches the Rfam family "Bacterial small subunit ribosomal RNA", at positions 112 to 585 of the family's 1533-position model. Lineage: Bacteria; Pseudomonadati; Pseudomonadota; Gammaproteobacteria; Pseudomonadales. The record is from RNAcentral.
AAUGCCUAGGAAUCUGCCUAGUGGUGGGGGAUAACGUUCGGAAACGGACGCUAAUACCGCAUACGUCCUACGGGAGAAAGCGGGGGACCUUCGGGCCUCGCGCCAUUAGAUGAGCCUAGGUCGGAUUAGCUAGUUGGUGAGGUAAUGGCUCACCAAGGCUACGAUCCGUAACUGGUCUGAGAGGAUGAUCAGUCACACUGGAACUGAGACACGGUCCAGACUCCUACGGGAGGCAGCAGUGGGGAAUAUUGGACAAUGGGCGAAAGCCUGAUCCAGCCAUGCCGCGUGUGUGAAGAAGGUCUUCGGAUUGUAAAGCACUUUAAGUUGGGAGGAAGGGUAGUAACUUAAUACGUUGCUACUUUGACGUUACCGACAGAAUAAGCACCGGCUAACUUCGUGCCAGCAGCCGCGGUAAUACGAAGGGUGCAAGCGUUAAUCGGAAUUACUGGGCGUAAAGCGCGCGUAGGUGGUUCAGUA